This is a long non-coding RNA of Triplophysa rosa, 2521 nucleotides long. RefSeq lists it as uncharacterized. Lineage: Eukaryota; Metazoa; Chordata; Actinopteri; Cypriniformes; Nemacheilidae. The transcript is spliced from 6 exons. The record is from RefSeq and is a predicted model, not a curated record.
UAUCUAUGGAAACAGAAGGCGUGUAUUCGUCUAGAGGAGGGAAGCCAUGUGCAACAAGAAGAUAUCAGUGUCAAGUGUCCAGUGUGAACUACCGUGCUACUCGGCUAGCAAGUAGGAACAAAGCGUUUUGUCAAUUUUUUUCACAAAUGUGAAUUAAUCUGUUCAUAAUGUUGACAUUGUUAGCGUUUAGCUCUGCUUUACCCAGAUCUCAGCAGGGUCCAAUCGGAUCAGGUCUGUCUGAAAGGUAUGUUUGUGUGAUAUGUUGUACUGUAGUGACAGCAAAUCCAGAAGACGGCGACAGGCUGGACAGUUUCCACAUGCUAGCAUGCGUUCCUUCCUUUGCUAUUUCUGCCCCGCAGGGUGGCAGGCUGCGUGGGCAGCAUGCUUCCUCUCGGUCCUGGCACCUGGAGUGCAAGUGCACGCUGCUGAGGGAAAUGACAGGCUACACCCGCUGGUGCCAGGUCUGCAGAGCCACUGUAAUGUGACAUGGCAUGUAAUAACGUGAAGUGACGAACAAACUGUCACUCUGUGUCGAAGAUGUGAAUGUAAUCACAAAGAGAUUAAUCCUUGUUUGCAUUUGGCCAAACGCUGAUCUACGAAUCAUCUAGAGGUUGUUUUAGGACAUUAUUAAUAUGUUCUAUAAAGCUAUAUUUGAAGGGUUUUUCAAUAAUGGAUUAAGUGUUUGAAUAUUAAGUUUUGCAUAGUGUGUGUUGAAAUAAAAAAGAAUCAGUAAUUGCAGGUCUUCAAUGCAUUUUGAUAAUGUCCUUGAAUCAGACUCAUUUUCUUGCAACAAAAACACUGAGGUAAGCUUAUAUAAUAGACUUUCUCAUGUGAUUCAUUGUAACAAAAUUUGUAAGAAAUAUUGCCUAAAUGCAUGUGCUGUUUUGUUUGUAUACCAAGUUUUAGCGGUAAGCAACUGCACAAUUUGUCAGCUCAAAUGCUCCUAAAAGUUAACUUGCAUGUGGCCGAGAAUAUUUCUUUAUUAAAAGUUUAAAAGAGACCAAAUUAAUAAUAGAGAUGUUUCAUUUUUAAACAGUGCUAAAUGCUAAUAUCGCCACGUUCCGGUGAGGGCAGAUAGAGAUACCCCAAAGUGGUAACUCAUAUGCAGAAAAUCCUCUUCGUUCACACCUUUGCCAUGAUUGCUCUGAGCACUGGGGACCAGUCUCUCACUAACCUUUACUGUAGCCAAGUGUGAUUGUGGGUACUGAACUCACACAUGCACACACACACACUUUAGCAUCUUUGAACCUCCUUUGGCUGUCACCUGCUUUGGUCGAAGUCUAAUUCUUGACUUUUUCUUCUUUUUUGUAGGAUAUACUUGGUUUCCAAGAAGACACAUCUGAAAACACCAGUGUUCUUCACAUGUAAAGGUAAGAUGUUGCACCGGGAUGGAUCAGAGUGCAUGGAAUAUGUGAGUUAGAAGACGGAGUUACUUCGUGUCUUCAGGAGGUAAUUUUCAGUGGAUGCAUCUAUGAAGGCCUCCAUCCCUUAUGUGAAGAAUACCAGAAGGCCCUUCAGGGAAGGGCUGUUGGAGAGUAGCAACCAGUUUCACCUGGAGACAGGCACCUGUCAGAAUGUUGCAGCCCUGUCACCGAAUGGGAAAUUUCUAUUGGAUUGCCCUCUCUAGAGUCAGCUUUUGUAUGGAGCGUUACAUGGACCCAAUGUCAGUGCCAGCAAUAUGUGUAUAAAAAGGCAAGAAGCAGCAGUGGUGUGGGGUUUUAAUUGAAGCUCCCUCUCACGAAGCGCAGCGCUAUAGGCUCAGUGUCAGGACCCGCUGCGGCUGUGGCACCCUCUCAGGCGCGGGACGGCUGCAGUGGCGAAGGGCCUUCUAAUUGCGCUCCGCAGAGAGCGAACACCCCUGUGGACGAAAAUGAAAGAGCGCCCGGCCCAGCUUCAUCUCUAUUGUGCGAAAAUAAAUAUAUACAGUCGACGCCCAGGGUGUGAAAUAACACACCAGCCGUUGGAUUUCACUGGUCAUUUCACCCUCAGCUGCAGAGCCCAAAACAAAACGAUAUUGUCUUAAACGCAGCCACCCGUUUAAGUGGCAUUGUCCCGAACAGCGUGGCAAGCAGAGAGAUGUGGGCCGUCUGCUUCUUGUCACUUCCUAUUAUUAAGAAGGCGCUCCGUGGCACCUGGGGGAAUGCCAGUCUCCACUGCUUCCAUCAGAAAUCAGCCGUCCAGACGUCCAAACACAACCUGUCGUGUCUCAGUGUUACCCAGAAUGCCGCAAGCAGCGCAGGGCCCGGGGAUGCUUUCCAGCACCCCAACACUCGAUGUCUCCAUCAGCCACACUAAUUCCGCUCUACAAAUCGGAGAAGUCACAGGGCAUAUCUUUACUGCCAGAGUAAGCACAACACAGGCAUUUGCCUGAACUGUGAACAGUCUUCUGUUUCAGCGAUGACCCCAGUGUGUUUGCACUGGGUGUAAUCAUUAUUGUUGCAGAUGGUGGUAGCUUUUGUAAUUUACAUGUAUCAGUUUAUACAGAAGACAUAUUAAGGUAAUUGCAAGCAUGAAUAUGAAA